CCCCUCCCAGGGUGGCACCUGGAGAGUUUCCAGGACUCUAUCAGUCUCGACUACGGGAGGGAGAGUCAAGCAGAGGCCUGUCCGUUCCAUUCCUAGCUUGGGCGGUGGCUAGCGAGCGGAAGGCCAUCUGCUACAAGU
This 138-nucleotide small nucleolar RNA is filed under the name Ornithorhynchus anatinus (platypus). Lineage: Eukaryota; Metazoa; Chordata; Mammalia; Monotremata; Ornithorhynchidae. The record is from RNAcentral.